UUAAGCGACUAAGCGUACACGGUGGAUGCCCUGGCAGUCAGAGGCGAUGAAGGACGUGCUAAUCUGCGAAAAGCGUCGGUAAGGUGAUAUGAACCGUUAUAACCGGCGAUGUCCGAAUGGGGAAACCCAGUGUGAUUCGUCACACUAUCGUUAACUGAAUACAUAGGUUAACGAGGCGAACCGGGGGAACUGAAACAUCUAAGUACCCCGAGGAAAAGAAAUCAACCGAGAUUCCCCCAGUAGCGGCGAGCGAACGGGGAGCAGCCCAGAGUCUGAAUCAGCUUGUGUGUUAGUGGAACGGUCUGGAAAGUCCGACGGUACAGGGUGAUAGUCCCGUACACCAAAAUGCACAGGCUGUGAACUCGAAGAGUAGGGCGGGACACGUGGUAUCCUGUCUGAAUAUGGGGGGACCAUCCUCCAAGGCUAAAUACUCCUGACUGACCGAUAGUGAACCAGUACCGUGAGGGAAAGGCGAAAAGAACCCCGGCGAGGGGAGUGAAAAAGAACCUGAAACCGUGUACGUACAAGCAGUGGGAGCACCUUCGGGUGUGACUGCGUACCUUUUGUAUAAUGGGUCAGCGACUUAUAUUCUGUAGCAAGGUUAACCGUAUAGGGGAGCCGCAGGGAAACCGAGUCUUAACUGGGCGUUAAGUUGCAGGGUAUAGACCCGAAACCCGGUGAUCUAGCCAUGGGCAGGUUGAAGGUUGGGUAACACUAACUGGAGGACCGAACCGACUAAUGUUGAAAAAUUAGCGGAUGACUUGUGGCUGGGGGUGAAAGGCCAAUCAAACCGGGAGAUAGCUGGUUCUCCCCGAAAGCUAUUUAGGUAGCGCCUCGUGAAUUCAUCUUCGGGGGUAGAGCACUGUUUCGGCUAGGGGGUCAUCCCGACUUACCAACCCGAUGCAAACUACGAAUACCGAAGAAUGUUAUCACGGGAGACACACGGCGGGUGCUAACGUCCGUCGUGAAGAGGGAAACAACCCAGACCGCCAGCUAAGGUCCCAAAGUCAUGGUUAAGUGGGAAACGAUGUGGGAAGGCACAGACAGCCAGGAUGUUGGCUUAGAAGCAGCCAUCAUUUAAAGAAAGCGUAAUAGCUCACUGGUCGAGUCGGCCUGCGCGGAAGAUGUAACGGGGCUAAACCAUGCACCGAAGCUGCGGCAGCGACACUAUGUGUUGUUGGGUAGGGGAGCGUUCUGUAAGCCUGCGAAGGUGACCUGUGAGGGUUGCUGGAGGUAUCAGAAGUGCGAAUGCUGACAUAAGUAACGAUAAAGCGGGUGAAAAGCCCGCUCGCCGGAAGACCAAGGGUUCCUGUCCAACGUUAAUCGGGGCAGGGUGAGUCGACCCCUAAGGCGAGGCCGAAAGGCGUAGUCGAUGGGAAACAGGUUAAUAUUCCUGUACUUGGUGUUACUGCGAAGGGGGGACGGAGAAGGCUAUGUUAGCCGGGCGACGGUUGUCCCGGUUUAAGCAUGUAGGCUGAUUGUCCAGGCAAAUCCGGAUAAUCAAGGCUGAGGUGUGAUGACGAGGCACUACGGUGCUGAAGUAACAAAUGCCCUGCUUCCAGGAAAAGCCUCUAAGCAUCAGGUAACAUUAAAUCGUACCCCAAACCGACACAGGUGGUCAGGUAGAGAAUACCAAGGCGCUUGAGAGAACUCGGGUGAAGGAACUAGGCAAAAUGGUGCCGUAACUUCGGGAGAAGGCACGCUGGUGUGUAGGUGAAGCCCCUGCGGGUGGAGCUGAGACCAGUCGAAGAUACCAGCUGGCUGCAACUGUUUAUUAAAAACACAGCACUGUGCAAACACGAAAGUGGACGUAUACGGUGUGACGCCUGCCCGGUGCCGGAAGGUUAAUUGAUGGGGUUAUCCGUAAGGAGAAGCUCUUGAUCGAAGCCCCGGUAAACGGCGGCCGUAACUAUAACGGUCCUAAGGUAGCGAAAUUCCUUGUCGGGUAAGUUCCGACCUGCACGAAUGGCGUAAUGAUGGCCAGGCUGUCUCCACCCGAGACUCAGUGAAAUUGAACUCGCUGUGAAGAUGCAGUGUACCCGCGGCAAGACGGAAAGACCCCGUGAACCUUUACUAUAGCUUGACACUGAACAUUGAGCCUUGAUGUGUAGGAUAGGUGGGAGGCUUUGAAGCGUGGACGCCAGUCUGCGUGGAGCCAACCUUGAAAUACCACCCUUUAAUGUUUGAUGUUCUAACGUUGGCCCCUGACCGGGGUUGCGGACAGUGUCUGGUGGGUAGUUUGACUGGGGCGGUCUCCUCCCAAAGCGUAACGGAGGAGCACGAAGGUUAGCUAAUCCUGGUCGGACAUCAGGAGGUUAGUGCAAUGGCAUAAGCUAGCUUGACUGCGAGCGUGACGGCGCGAGCAGGUGCGAAAGCAGGUCAUAGUGAUCCGGUGGUUCUGAAUGGAAGGGCCAUCGCUCAACGGAUAAAAGGUACUCCGGGGAUAACAGGCUGAUACCGCCCAAGAGUUCAUAUCGACGGCGGUGUUUGGCACCUCGAUGUCGGCUCAUCACAUCCUGGGGCUGAAGUAGGUCCCAAGGGUAUGGCUGUUCGCCAUUUAAAGUGGUACGCGAGCUGGGUUUAGAACGUCGUGAGACAGUUCGGUCCCUAUCUGCCGUGGGCGCUGGAGAAUUGAGGGGGGCUGCUCCUAGUACGAGAGGACCGGAGUGGACGCAUCACUGGUGUUCGGGUUGUCAUGCCAAUGGCACUGCCCGGUAGCUAAAUGCGGAAGAGAUAAGUGCUGAAAGCAUCUAAGCACGAAACUUGCCCCGAGAUGAGUUCUCCCUGAGACUUUAAGUCUCCUGAAGGAACGUUGAAGACGACGACGUUGAUAGGCCGGGUGUGUAAGCGCAGCGAUGCGUUGAGCUAACCGGUACUAAUGAACCGUGAGGCUUAACCUU
This 2900-nucleotide ribosomal RNA is filed under the name Klebsiella pneumoniae. RNAcentral's name for it is "bacterial LSU rRNA". It matches the Rfam family "Bacterial large subunit ribosomal RNA". The record is from RNAcentral. Lineage: Bacteria; Pseudomonadati; Pseudomonadota; Gammaproteobacteria; Enterobacterales; Enterobacteriaceae.